UGUUCUCCGGUGGCGCGGCUACAGAAAAAAAUCGUCUUUUUGCCCUGCAGCAUUGUGCACAUGUGCAAAAUUCCUGGAUGUGAACAACAACAUCCACUGGGUCCAUACUGUAGCAACAGUCCAUCUAAAUCACAUGAUCACUCUGAAACCAGACGCUCACACUCAGGAACUGUUACCAUGGUGAUGGACACGCCUCUGUUUUCAGCAGAACUACAUUCUUCCUGUUUUAUGAACGUCAACAAAAGCAUGCUGUCUGCGAGGAGCGACGUAAUGAAGGGAAGUGAACUUUGGUCUAAACCACGUCAGAUGUGACCAGCUCUAACGGCUGUGAUGCGUUCAGGGACUGUUUGUUUAUUUCAGUGGGUUUCCAGAGAGCGGAUCUGUUCAUAAAACUCAGAUGAACCCAGA
This is a long non-coding RNA of Xiphophorus hellerii (green swordtail), 408 nucleotides long. RefSeq lists it as uncharacterized. The record is from RefSeq and is a predicted model, not a curated record. The transcript is spliced from 2 exons. NCBI's taxonomy places the organism in Eukaryota, Metazoa, Chordata, Actinopteri, Cyprinodontiformes, Poeciliidae.